Molecule: long non-coding RNA, 482 nt
Filed under: Carica papaya (papaya)
Lineage: Eukaryota; Viridiplantae; Streptophyta; Magnoliopsida; Brassicales; Caricaceae
Description: long non-coding RNA (CPAP_LNC014223)
Source: RNAcentral
UUUAAUUCAUGGUUGUAAGCAUGGAGUUCAAAGUAAUAAAAAUACAAAGUUUUUAUCUUUCAACAAACGAAAUGUUCAUCUUUGUCAUUGAGCGAGUAAUUUGGUCAACUUAUCAAGGUAAUCUUGUGGUGUUUUUUCAAAUCUUUAACUUAUCCCAAUUACUUUAGUUGAUAUCACACAUUAAUAGUUGGGUUAAGUAAGGAGUAUUUACUUAGAAAUUAAAUCUUUGUUGCUAACUGAAAUUAUGUGAAUUUUGGAUUGCAUUGUUAAUUAUAGGUUCUGCAUCAUCCCCUCCCUUUUGUAAGCUGUUUGCCAACUCCAUUUUCACGGAUUCUCUAUGUGCUAACUCAUCUUUUUGUUUUCUGCUCCCCAUUCCUUAUUUUUUAUUUCAUUUUACUCUAAAUGUCUUUAAAGAACUGUAUUCCCUUACCGUCUAAACCGUCCAUUUUAGUCUCUUGCAAAAAGAUGAUCUCUGGUUUUAG